UGCCUGGCUGUAGCAGCACAUCAAUAUUGGUAGCUGCCCUCAAACUGGGCUGCCAGUAUAGCUUGUGCUGCUCCAGU
Molecule: microRNA precursor, 77 nt
Organism: Lepisosteus oculatus (spotted gar)
Lineage: Eukaryota; Metazoa; Chordata; Actinopteri; Semionotiformes; Lepisosteidae
Gene: mir457a
Product: microRNA 457a
Source: Ensembl